RNAcentral lists this ribosomal RNA (476 nucleotides) under uncultured bacterium. Its description in RNAcentral is "bacterial SSU rRNA". It matches the Rfam family "Bacterial small subunit ribosomal RNA", at positions 67 to 518 of the family's 1533-position model. The record is from RNAcentral.
UUUCUAUGGAAGCUUGCUUCCACUGAGUAAGAUAGUGGCGAACGGGUGAGUAACACGUGGGUAACCUGCCCAUAAGAGGGGGGAUAACGAUCCGGAAACGGGUGCUAAUACCGCAUAGUUUUCUUGAUCGCAUGAUCGGGAAGGAAAGACGGCCUUUGUGCUGUCGCUUAUGGAUGGACCCGCGGCGUAUUAGUUAGUUGGUGAGGUAACGGCUCACCAAGACGAUGAUACGUAGCCGACCUGAGAGGGUGAUCGGCCACAUUGGGACUGAGACACGGGCCCAAACUCCUACGGGAGGCAGCAGUAGGGAAUCUUCCGCAAUGGACGAAAGUCUGACGGAGCAACGCCGCGUGAGUGAAGAAAGGUUUUCGGAUCGUAAAACUCUGUUGUCAGAGAAGAACAAGUUGGAGAGUAACUGCUCCAGCCUUGACGGUAUCUGACCAGAAAGCCACGGCUAACUACGUGCCAGCAGCCGC